AUGGAGCACGCGGUCCUUUCUGAUUCUGGCAUCCUUAAAACUUUGAGAGCUUCUCCGACAACAAGGAAAGGAAGCAGAAGAAGCAAUGUCCAAUCAGGCCAAAAAUCCGGGAAGGCUCUCGGGAGAGCAAGUUUUGUCAAUCUUCUCAGUCAGUUCUUGAAAGCAAAAAAGGAAUCUUGGGAGUAUCAGCGUUCGGUUGGCUUCAAAACCUGAAUCUAAAGGGAUUGAAACAUCUAGGCAACAAACAAUGACGAAGAACUUUUUGCCCAACAUGGAUAAUUCUUAUGAGAGUUUAAAACCGAAUCUCGGGGCAUCUACAUCGAAAUCAAAUGCGAAACCUUGUGGUUUUUUCCCAGAGAUUAGGAGUUUUGGUGCCUCCAGUUCCAAGGAAGAUACCAACAUGAUGACAGAUUUCAGAAAACCAGCAAAAGUGGAACCAAAGAAUUCCCAGAUGACCAUAUUUUUUGGUGGUCAAGUGGCAGUAUUUAAUGACUUCCCAGCUGACAAGUUCAAGGAAAUCAUGGACUUAUUAGCUAGCCAUGGAUGCUCAACCGCAAGCGGUGUUGUUGUUGAUACUGUCAUGGAAAAAGUUAAGUCUAAAACAGUCCAAAUCGAGCCUAGCAAUCAUGAAAUUCCAGACCUGAAUGUUUCUACCGCGACUGGGAAUAGUCCUCCUCCCCCUCAUGAUUCUUCCGUUGAAUGGCAUCAAUAUGGCGGUUCAGGACCUUCAGAUCUUCGAAUUGCAAGAAGAAAUUCACUUCACAAGUUUUUCGAAAAGAGAAAAGAAAGGGCAACAGCUAGAGCGCCAUACCAAGUUAACAACGCAAGAGGAUCGACUCUGCCACCUAAACCCGAUGAAAACAAAUCAUCUCACGAGGAAGGUCAAUCAUCGAAAGAAGCCUCAAGAGAUCUUGAUCUCAAGUUAUAGUAACAUACAUUUUUUCACUUCACUUAGGACCACCUUAGUGAAUAUAGGUUUAAGGUUCUUCUGUUUACAAUCAGAUUAAGAUCUGAUUUCCUUUUUUGUGCGAGUUUCAUCCAUUGAUAGCUAGAAGAAGGAAAAAAAAAAAAAAACCCACAAGAAACUGUUUUCUAUCGUCUUCACGAUGGAACUUCACCAAUGUUUGGUUAUUGUUGUUGGCAAGUAGGGAACCAGACAGAAAGCAGAUGACAACUUCAUUAAAUGGUUUCAAGAUUGAUGAAUCAGAAAAGGUUCCAAGUAUGUAUUCAAGUUCUAUCUUUAGUCAUGUUACUUGAAUUUUCUAUUUUUUCGGUACCUUAAAUCCUACACAAAUUCGAACAUAUGCGAAGAUAUCUGCCAAAAUGUAUAAAGAAAUUUUGAGACACUUUACCCAUUUCAGCAAAAGAAUCUUUCUUCAUAGAAUAAA
Gossypium raimondii (Peruvian cotton) is the source of this 1388-nucleotide RNA transcript. It is a transcript of the gene named protein TIFY 11B, with no coding region annotated. The record is from RefSeq and is a predicted model, not a curated record. The transcript is spliced from 6 exons. Lineage: Eukaryota; Viridiplantae; Streptophyta; Magnoliopsida; Malvales; Malvaceae.